This is a long non-coding RNA of Daktulosphaira vitifoliae (grape phylloxera), 749 nucleotides long. RefSeq lists it as uncharacterized. The transcript is spliced from 3 exons. The record is from RefSeq and is a predicted model, not a curated record. NCBI's taxonomy places the organism in Eukaryota, Metazoa, Arthropoda, Insecta, Hemiptera, Phylloxeridae.
UAGUAUCUUACUGUAAUUUAUUGUAUAAUUACAGUUUUGUACAUUACAUACAAUACAUUGUGUGAUUAAGAUUUCGAACAAUUUUUUUUAGUAUUCUUUUAACAACUCUUACUGACAUGGAUUUGACAAAUCCACGCAGGGCACGUCAAACAUCUAGUUGACUUUUUUGAAUCACGUGCUAGGCGUGAGAAAGAGACUAGACUGACUCUGCGUUCCAGCUCCAAGAGAUCACAGAAUGACAAAAAAGAAAAUAGGCCGACACAUUUAAUGAGACGACCUGAUGGUGAAAACACCGUUCAACUAUCACCAUUAACAACGAUUUCAAACCUGAUAAAACCGUGUGUUGAACAUGGCCACUUUAACGAAGAGACUGUUCUCUGCAAUAUUUAAGGUAAUAACAGAUAAGCUAGACCGACUUUAUUCCGAACGCUGCACAUUAUUGCAAGUUGUACCCCUCGUGUCACCAAAAAUAAUGAAAAAUUUUCAUUGGAUAUUGGUGCUCCUGGUCAUAUUUGUUUUAAAGCUGCUGAAAUGCCAGCCUCUUCAUCAUCACACGUCUCACCUAAAUUGUCUAGACAAGUAAACAGACCACGACAGGUUUCAAAAAUACCUAUUAGGAUUUCAGGAAAUAAAAACCUAAAGGAUAGUAAAUCUAAGACGACAUCACAGUUACUAGAAUCUACUAAAAGACAUAACCAUUCAACCGAUGUGAAUAUGCGUCGUCAUACUAUACGAUUUGAUGAAGAUGU